AUGUGGGACCUGGUUUUCUCCAUCGCCUUGUCUGUGGGGUGCACUGGUGAGAUUGGGGGAUAAAGGAAGGGGGGCGGGUUCUGACUCUUAUGCUGAAGCCCUUUUCCUCCCACCCAGUGCCCCAGCCUCGUCCCUUCAGCCCACAGUUCACCCCAGACAAUGUGCCCCUGACUCUUCCACAUUGCAAUAGUCCUCAUGCCCACACUAGGUCCCCGCUCUCUCCCACUUACCUCAGACCUUUCUCUCCAUUGCCCAGCCAAAUCCCUGCUCCCAGCUGCUUUACUAAAGAGCAAGUUCCCGGGCAUCUCUGUGUUUCUCUUUAUGGGGUUCAAAACCUUUCAAAGACCUCUCUCCAUGCCACUGGUUCCUUGGACCCUAUCAUUGGGCUGCCUCCUGAGCCCCUCAGUCCUACCACAGUCUACUGACUUUUCCCAUUCAGCUGUGAGCAUUCAACCCUGUCCCCUGGACCUUGACACCUGGCUCCCCAACCCUGUCCCAGGAAACCCAGAUUCCACCAGACACUUCCUUCUUCCCCCCGAGGCUAUCUGGCCUGAGACAACAAAUGCUGCCUCCCACCCCGAGUCUGGCACUGGGACUUUCAGAACUCCUCCUUCCCUGACUCUUUGCCCCAGACCCGUCAUUCAAUGGCCAGCCUUUUCCAUGGGAAAAACACGAGCACCCCCAACCACAACGGCCAGUUCUCCGAUUCCCUAAAUGUGCGCCCUUUUCAAAACCUGAAAAACAAAACAAAACAAAACAAACCAAGAAACAACUCAGGCAGAACUGUUUGCUUAACCUUGGACAUGGUAAACCAUCCAAAACCUUCCUCUCCCAGCAACUAAACCUCUCCACUGGGCACUUAUCCUUGGUUUCUGGAACCCCUUAUUCUCUUAGAACCCACAGCUGCCACCACGGUGUCCCUUCUCCCAGUGUAAGACCCCAAAUCACUCCAAAUGACCCAACCCCCAACCCGAUGCCUGCUCCAGAUGUUUCCCAUGUCCCCUACUCUGAUCUCUGGGGUCAGCUCUGUUCUCAGAGCAUGAAGUCUCCCCACCUGGUCCAGCCACCAACCCACUAACGCAGGGAAUAGCUACAGAAUUCCCAGCCUUCCCAGGACCCCUUGCUUGUGUCCUGGACUCCCAGUCCUGGUCCUCUGCCCCCAUGUCUCUUCAAACCCACAGCUCAGCUCCCUCCCCUAUCCAAUUCUUUUGGGUCUGAUCCCCCUGACCCAGCACCCCCUCUGCAGGUGCCGUGCCCCUCAUCCAGUCUCGGAUUGUGGGAGGCUGGGAGUGUGAGAAGCAUUCCC
This 1306-nucleotide small RNA is filed under the name Pan troglodytes (chimpanzee). RNAcentral's name for it is "retained intron". The record is from RNAcentral. Lineage: Eukaryota; Metazoa; Chordata; Mammalia; Primates; Hominidae.